GCCCGGAUAGCUCAGUCGGUAGAGCACUUCAUUGGUAAUGAAGAGGUCAGCGGUCCGAUCCCGCUUCCGGGCU
Molecule: transfer RNA, 73 nt
Filed under: Elusimicrobia bacterium HGW-Elusimicrobia-1
Lineage: Bacteria; Pseudomonadati; Elusimicrobiota
Also listed under: 1 other name
Description: tRNA-Thr
Rfam family: tRNA
About the family: Transfer RNA (tRNA) molecules are approximately 80 nucleotides in length.
Source: RNAcentral